GUGAGGAAUAUUGGACAAUGGGCGAGAGCCUGAUCCAGCCAUGCCGCGUGCAGGAAGACGGCCCUAUGGGUUGUAAACUGCUUUUACAGAGGAAGAAACACUCCCUUGCGAGGGAGCUUGACGGUACUCUGCGAAUAAGGAUCGGCUAACUCCGUGCCAGCAGCCGCGGUAAUACGGAGGAUCCAAGCGUUAUCCGGAAUCAUUGGGUUUAAAGGGUCCGUAGGCGGGACAAUCAGUCAGCGGUGAAAGUCUGUGGCUCAACCAUAGAAUUGCCAUUGAUACUGUUGUUCUUGAAUACUUAUGAAGUGGUUGGAAUAUGUAGUGUAGCGGUGAAAUGCAUAGAUAUUACAUAGAACACCGAUUGCGAAGGCAGAUCACUAAUAAUUUAUUGACGCUGAUGGACGAAAGCGUAGGUAGCGAACAGGAUUAGAAACCCUAGUAGUCC
This 445-nucleotide ribosomal RNA is filed under the name uncultured bacterium. RNAcentral's name for it is "bacterial SSU rRNA". It matches the Rfam family "Bacterial small subunit ribosomal RNA", at positions 354 to 796 of the family's 1533-position model. The record is from RNAcentral.